This 473-nucleotide ribosomal RNA is filed under the name uncultured bacterium. RNAcentral describes it as "bacterial SSU rRNA". It matches the Rfam family "Bacterial small subunit ribosomal RNA", at positions 328 to 793 of the family's 1533-position model. The record is from RNAcentral.
UCAGUCGACUCCUACGGGAGGCAGCAGUGAGGAAUAUUGCGCAAUGGGCGAAAGCCUGACGCAGCGACGCCGCGUGGAGGAUGAAGGUUUUCGGAUCGUAAACUCCUGUUAAGUGGGAAGAAAAACUGAGCUCUAAUACAGUUCAGCAAUGACGGUACCACUAAAGAAAGCACCGGCUAACUUCGUGCCAGCAGCCGCGGUAAUACGAGGGGUGCUAGCGUUAUUCGGAAUUAUUGGGCGUAAAGGGUGUGUAGACGGUCUAUUAAGUUAUCUGUUAAAUUCUCCGGCCUAACCGGAGGUCAGCAGAUAAAACUGAUAAACUAGAGGAUGGAAGAGAGAAGUGGAAUUCUCGGAGUAGCGGUAAAAUGCGUAGAUCUCGAGAGGAACACCGAUGGCGAAGGCAGCUUCUUGGUCCAUUCCUGACGUUGAGACACGAAAGCGUGGGGAGCAAACAGGAUUAGAUACCCUGGUAG